This is a non-coding RNA of Vicia faba (fava bean), 260 nucleotides long. The record is from the annotation of a GenBank genome assembly. Lineage: Eukaryota; Viridiplantae; Streptophyta; Magnoliopsida; Fabales; Fabaceae.
AUGGACCCGACACCUACCGCGCAACGUCGUCUCAAAGCCAUCAAUGCUCACCUCGUCACCGCCGCCGAUGACUCUCCUUCCGAUAUCCAAUCGAAUCCCACCGCCGGCGAGUUCUUCUCCGAGCAAGGGUAUAGUGUUGUACUCCCGGAGAAAUUGCGGACAGGAAAGUGGAACGUGUACAGAUCCGCACGUUCUCCUCUGAAGCUGAUUGAUAGGUUCUCUGAUAAUCCUCAUAUCGGUACACUACAUGAUAAUUUUGU